GAUUAUGGCUCAGAACGAACGCUGGCGGCAGGCUUAACACAUGCAAGUUGAACGGGAUUUGUGUGGUGCUUGCACCAUAUAAUGAGAGUAGCGCACUGGUGAGUAACACGUGGGAACGUGCCUUUUAGUGGGGGAUAACAUCUGGAAACGGAUGCUAAUACCGCAUACGCCCUGAGGGGGAAAGAUUUAUUGCUAAGAGGUCGGCCCGCGGUAGAUUAGGCAGUUGGUCGGGUAAAGGCCUACCAAACCUACG
RNAcentral lists this ribosomal RNA (253 nucleotides) under uncultured bacterium. RNAcentral's name for it is "partial 16S ribosomal RNA". It matches the Rfam family "Bacterial small subunit ribosomal RNA", at positions 15 to 278 of the family's 1533-position model. The record is from RNAcentral.